This 280-nucleotide ribosomal RNA is filed under the name uncultured Thalassovita sp. Its description in RNAcentral is "uncultured Thalassobius sp. partial 16S ribosomal RNA". It matches the Rfam family "Bacterial small subunit ribosomal RNA", at positions 29 to 334 of the family's 1533-position model. The record is from RNAcentral. Lineage: Bacteria; Pseudomonadati; Pseudomonadota; Alphaproteobacteria; Rhodobacterales; Roseobacteraceae.
AACGAACGCUGGCGGCACGCCUAACACAUGCAAGUCGAGCGCAGUCCUUCGGGACCGAGCGGCGGACGGGUUAGUAACGCGUGGGAACAUACCCAACUCUAAGGAAUAGCCUCUGGAAACGGAGAGUAAUACCUUAUACGCCCUUCGGGGGAAAGAUUUAUCGGAGAUGGAUUGGCCCGCGUUAGAUUAGAUAGUUGGUGGGGUAACGGCCUACCAAGUCUACGAUCUAUAGCUGGUUUGAGAGGAUGAUCAGCAACACUGGGACUGAGACACGGCCCAG